RNAcentral lists this long non-coding RNA (695 nucleotides) under Helianthus annuus (common sunflower). Its description in RNAcentral is "hypothetical non coding rna". The record is from RNAcentral. Lineage: Eukaryota; Viridiplantae; Streptophyta; Magnoliopsida; Asterales; Asteraceae.
GUAGCACGCUAUAGCGAUCGCUACGCUCGCUAUUGACAACUAUGCUACACAUACAUGAUUACAUGUACAUAAAGAGAAGGGCAAAAGAGUAAUACACAAGCCAAAUACAGACUAAUUGUUCCUAGGAACAUAAAUUUCAAACCAAUGCCAACUAAAAGUUGAUCUAGGGAACAGGUCCAAUUUAAUCAAGGUUUUAGCCACGAGGUUUAUCGAGUUUGCAUAUAAGUAUGAGCUCAAAAGAUAUAAUGAAUCAACCCUGAGCUAUUUAUCACUAGAGCAUCACCAACAACAAGCCCAAAAACACAAGUUACACAACCACAUCAUAACUGCCCGUGUCGCCCCUAAAAACCGCAGCCCGCCAUCUCCUCCCUCUCUCCUUCACCCGAGCUCAAAAACGCCACAAAAACCGAUUUUCUCGUUUCUCUAAUUAAAUAAAUCCAAAAGCUAGCUAAAAGACUAGUGCAAGCUCUGUAAACCCUACACAUUAUCAAACCCCCAAAUCACAGAUAAUGAAACAACAAUCAACUUCAUCAGAAACAUCAUAAACCCUAACUCACAGAAUAAAACCAACAGUUCCAAAUAUUAAUACAAACAUUUCAUAUAUUAGUAGUAUUACAUCCAACUAAAUCUAAUAACAUGAAAUCUAAUCCUUAACUAACGAAAUCAAACCUGUUGAAAGCUCUUCAACGUCUUCC